AUUGAACGCUGGCGGCAGGCUUAACACAUGCAAGUCGAACGGUAGCAGGAGAAAGCUUGCUUUCUUGCUGACGAGUGGCGGACGGGUGAGUAAUGCUUGGGAAUCUGGCUUAUGGAGGGGGAUAACGACGGGAAACUGUCACUAAUACCGCGUAUUAUCGGAAGAUGAAAGUGCGGGACUGAGAGGCCGCAUGCCAUAGGAUGAGCCCAAGUGGGAUUAGGUAGUUGGUGGGGUAAAUGCCUACCAAGCCUGCGAUCUCUAGCUGGUCUGAGAGGAUGACCAGCCGCACUGGAACUGAGACACGGUCCAGACUCCUACGGGAGGCAGCAGUGGGGAAUAUUGCGCAAUGGGGGGAACCCUGACGCAGCCAUGCCGCGUGAAUGAAGAAGGCCUUCGGGUUGUAAAGUUCUUUCGGUAUUGAGGAAGGUUGAUGUGUUAAUAGCACAUCAAAUUGACGUUAAAUACAGAAGAAGCACCGGCUAACUCCGUGCCAGCAGCCGCGGUAAUACGGAGGGUGCGAGCGUUAAUCGGAAUAACUGGGCGUAAAGGGCACGCAGGCGGUUAUUUAAGUGAGGUGUGAAAGCCCUGGGCUUAACCUAGGAAUUGCAUUUCAGACUGGGUAACUAGAGUACUUUAGGGAGGGGUAGAAUUCCACGUGUAGCGGUGAAAUGCGUAGAGAUGUGGAGGAAUACCGAAGGCGAAGGCAGCCCCUUGGGAAUGUACUGACGCCCAUGUGCGAAAGCGUGGGGAGCAAACAGG
RNAcentral lists this ribosomal RNA (759 nucleotides) under Haemophilus influenzae. RNAcentral describes it as "bacterial SSU rRNA". It matches the Rfam family "Bacterial small subunit ribosomal RNA", at positions 28 to 776 of the family's 1533-position model. Lineage: Bacteria; Pseudomonadati; Pseudomonadota; Gammaproteobacteria; Pasteurellales; Pasteurellaceae. The record is from RNAcentral.